This 338-nucleotide long non-coding RNA is filed under the name Olea europaea (common olive). RNAcentral's name for it is "long non-coding RNA (OEUR_LNC001923)". Lineage: Eukaryota; Viridiplantae; Streptophyta; Magnoliopsida; Lamiales; Oleaceae. The record is from RNAcentral.
UAUUAUAAAAAGGGUAUUUUGGAUAUCAAAAUUAGUCAAAGUUGUAUUUGGAUAAUUUCCAUGUAUUUCUCUAAUUGAUGCCCUACUAUUUCUACCCCAAUUCAACAAUUAUCUUAGGGUAAUCAUAUCGAUACAAAUAUUUUUCUUUCCUUUACUCGUUGAGGGUACCCAAUGUAUUCGAUUCUAGAAAAGAAUUGAAAUAGAAACUAUGGAGAAUCACCUCGUAUCAAGCAAAGCCGUAGAUUACCUUUUUUUAUCACGAUGCUCAUACCAGUAUCUUUUAUGCAGGUUCUAAAUCUCGUGGCUCAAUCUUUUCCUCAAUAUGUAUACAUNNNNNN